AAGCCGAAAAAAAAUAAAUACGGACAAACGGGUCUUUAGUUUCUUACCACAACACCUUCUUCUCCUCUUUAUAAAAUGUGCCCCCACCCUUCAACUUCCCUUGUCCUCACACAUUAGACCCUCAGCUGCCUAAGCUCCACAUCUCUCUCCUCCAUUGAUAAUGUUUAGAGUUAUACUAAACCUUUUUCUCUUAUUCCUUUUGUUUCAGUUUCGAUCUAACAAUGCUUCUUCCCCUACAGCACAAACUCUUGAGCUGCAAAAUCCUAACUACUUCAACCCAAAGCUGCCGCCUAUGACACUCUCUUCCUCAAAAAAGUUCGAGGGAUCAUCAGACCUGGUAAACCUCCGUUACCAUAUGGGUCCAGUUCUCUCUUCUCCGAUCAAUAUCUACCUCAUUUGGUACGGCAAGUGGGCCCCAUCACAGCAACUCCUCAUUAAAGACUUCCUUCUCUCCGUUUCCACUUUCAACCACCGCGCUGCUCCUUCUCCUUCCGUCGCGGAGUGGUGGAGCACAGUGUCCUUGUACACUGACCAGACCGGAGCUAACAUCUCCCGCUCCGUACUCAUCGCCGGGGAAUACUCUGACAAUAAGUAUUCUCAGGGGAAAAACCUUAAUCGUCUCUCCAUUCAAGACGUCAUCGCCGAAGCCGUUCGAUCAAAACCGUUCACCGUCGAUCAUAAAAAAGGGAUCUACCUCGUGUUAACUUCAGUCGACGUUACGAUGCAGGACUUUUGUCGAGCAGUUUGUGGGUUUCACUACUUCACCUUCGCAUCGAAAGUGGGUUACACGCUUCCGUACGCUUGGGUCGGCAACUCCGGG
This 820-nucleotide long non-coding RNA is filed under the name Nicotiana tabacum (common tobacco). RNAcentral describes it as "long non-coding RNA (NTAB_LNC007621)". Lineage: Eukaryota; Viridiplantae; Streptophyta; Magnoliopsida; Solanales; Solanaceae. The record is from RNAcentral.